Molecule: ribosomal RNA, 252 nt
Filed under: uncultured Bacteroides sp.
Lineage: Bacteria; Pseudomonadati; Bacteroidota; Bacteroidia; Bacteroidales; Bacteroidaceae
Description: partial 16S ribosomal RNA
Rfam family: Bacterial small subunit ribosomal RNA
Source: RNAcentral
UACGGAGGAUCCGAGCGUUAUCCGGAUUUAUUGGGUUUAAAGGGUGCGUAGGCGGCAUUAUAAGUUAGUGGUAAAAUAUUGGGGCUUCACCUCACUACGCCAUUAAUACUGUUGAGCUAGAGAGUAGUUGCGGUAGGCGGAAUGUAUGGUGUAGCGGUGAAAUGCUUAGAGAUCAUACAGAACACCGAUUGCGAAGGCAGCUUACCAAACUAUAUCUGACGUUGAGGCACGAAAGCGUGGGGAGCAAACAGG